ACCGACUACGAACAAACCAUGUUUAGCCCAGAAUAACCUUGAAUUUAAUAAAAUGUUGUUUUGCCAAAAUAACUUGCAAGAUGUAUGAUAUUUCAUCAGGCAUGCAAAGACACCAGUGAAUUCAAGAUGUUUGGUUUUAUUUAUCUUAUCUGAAUAUCUGCUGUCACGCAUAACAUUCAUUAUUGAUAUACAAAAUCCAGUUACAACUCCGAACCGCUAGAUGGCAGCUGCAGUACACAAACACGAGGCCAAAUCUCGCGAGAAAGAUUUCCGCUGUUUGAAAAUCAACAACACCAACCAGCGAGCAGCCAAGGCCAGGGGAAAGCAAUCUUCCACACUCGUUUGGUCUUGUGUCAAAGCUGUGCGAAACUGGAGGGAGAAACUUGAGAGACCGUGCCGGAAGAAUGCUGGACAGAGUUCCAUAAAAUUCAUUAAUUUCAAAGUUCAACAUGAAUGGUGGUGGUCCACUGCAGAAGCAAGCAUUUGAAAAAACAUCAGUUCUCAGUUAUUAAAGAUGCUGUGUUGAACAACUUCCCAGCAGCAACAGAACUGGAAGGGAAGGAUGCAAUGGGGGCAUUUCAAACAGGCACCAGGGAGGAUGG
Misgurnus anguillicaudatus (oriental weatherfish) is the source of this 602-nucleotide non-coding RNA. The record is from RefSeq and is a predicted model, not a curated record. Lineage: Eukaryota; Metazoa; Chordata; Actinopteri; Cypriniformes; Cobitidae.